RNAcentral lists this long non-coding RNA (9205 nucleotides) under Lactuca sativa (garden lettuce). Its description in RNAcentral is "long non-coding RNA (LSAT_LNC001404)". The record is from RNAcentral. Lineage: Eukaryota; Viridiplantae; Streptophyta; Magnoliopsida; Asterales; Asteraceae.
UUUUUCAAAGAACCAAUACAAAGCUUUCCAUCUCAAAAACAUACUUAUGAACUCACCAACUUAAAUGUUGAUACACUUUCAAAAUCACUUGUAUUCUCAGGGAACCGGUAGACAGGUACACUCACUGGUUUUGAGAAGACGGAGCUUUAUAGAGUCUCGUCUUUUAUACUUCUGCUAUAUACUUUUGAUGUCACACAAAUCAUGUACUAAACAGAUGUAAACACUAUAUUUUAUCAAUGUAAUGGUUAUGUUUGCUUUGAUUACUAUUAUACAAUUGUUGUGAUACUGUACAUGACGUCCCCUGCCCCCGAAUGUUUCCGUCGUUCCGGUUUGGGGGUGUGACAGAUUGGUAUCAAAGCAUUGUUUAUAGUGAACUAAGUAUAUCAAACCUUACAAGAUAUACAACUAUAAACACAAUGGGGCCGAAGUGCUCUGACUAAAAGUAUACUUUUAAAAUCUAAGUAUUUUAUAAGAAGUAUACAAACGAUACAUACAUACCAGAAAACAGUAUCACAGUAAGAACUACACAAAAGUAUUUAGAUGUUGGACACUAUAGUUAAACCUAGAUAGUUAUGUAAUCAUAUCUGAGAUAAAUAUAGCCUAAUCAACUAUAUUUACUUGAGAUACGACCAACAUGUGUUUAGGAGUGAUCGUGGUGUUGUGAAAAGUCUAAAACUUACCUACACUAUAUACAAGAGAAACACUAGAACCAAACAUAAAGAAUGAAAUACUAUAGGAGUAUUUUAUGAUCCUACAACACUAGAACAAGAAACAUCUAGGCCUUGAUAGUUAUACAUAAUUCGUAUACACCAGGUGUUUAUAGAGGGACCCAAUGUGAGUCACACCAUACAAAUUCUUUACAAGUGUUGCUAUAAAUGAAGUUGGAGAUUGCAUACUUAUAUUAGUAGACUUCCACUUUAAAUCGCUUAAUAGAACAUUGUAACUGUUGGAAUAGUGUCUAAGGCUGCAACUAUAUUAGGCAAGUAUUUGACCCGAUUGUGCAUGGUCCUUUUGGGUUGCCUUCACCAUAGCAACUUGACAGGAUGAUUUAUAAUGAGAGAAGAAAUAUUAUUAAUAUAUUAUGAGUAUAAUAUAAGGAAUAAUAAUAUUGUUAUUUGAUUAAUAUAAGUCAUAAAUUAAUUAGAAAUUAAUUUGGUGACUUAAAGAGAUUAAUUGAAUAAAAGGGCAUAAACUGUCAAUUGUAUGAUAGUUGUACUUUGGGCUAUAAUCCCUUAUGGAUAAGGGGUGGACGGUUUUGGGGGCUUGGAAGGACCUAGAAUUUUUCCAAGGCUUAUCAUUAGGGAGAUUGGAUUGCUUAGGGCCUAAGAUAUCCAAUUAGGGUUUAAGGGUGAAACCCUAAGAGCCUCACUAGUAUAAAUAGACCCUAGGGGUCAAGGGAAAUCGGUACUCUUGCUUUUGAAGAAACCCUGGUCGACUUCCUCCCCUCUCCCCUCUCUCUCUAAUCAUCCUCUUGCUAGUUGGUGUUUGUAAGCCAUUAGAGGAGUGACAAUUGUGACUCUAAGCUCCAAGGACAAGAAGAUUCAAGCUAGCAACUCAAGGUAAUCUUCUAGAUCUGUUUUCUUAUGUUAUUAUACUAGAUCUAUUGAUCAAAGUCUUGGAUACAAUGCAUGUUCAAUUAGAGAAGCCUAGAUCCAAGCAUUAGGGUUUGUAUGUGCACAUAGGAAUGUUCUUAUGGCUCAAACCCAUCAGUAACCGUCAGGAUAAGAUAUAUCUUGUUCAUUAGCACCUGACGCACGACCACUAUAGAGGACUUAUCAUCAUUUUAUCUUUAAUUUUUUUAGAGAAAGAUGCAUCCAAAGAAGUCCAACAGGAAGAAAAACAAACCGCCAACAAAUCCACCACCCCCACCACCUCCUCAGUAUGACCCUAGUGUAUUCAAAGCACCAGUUACAGCCGCCAUGACGCAGAUCAAUGCAAGCGGCACUAGCUGGGCUGGUAGUGGUGCCAACCCAUCUAACCACGGGGAUAGUCAUGGAACCCAAGAGAGUGUUCAUACAAGGACUUCUCAAAUUCUAAACCCAAGUCAUUCGAUGGCACCGUAGGUGUCAUUGCUUUAACACGCUGGUUCGAGAAGACCGAAUCCAUAUUUGAAAUUUGCCCGUGUCCUAAAGCUAGCAAAGUGAAAUUUGCAACAUGCACUUUCACAGACAGAUCCCUCACUUGGUGGAACAGCCAAGUCAAGUCAUUGACUCUCCCAAUAGCCAAUGCCAUGAGUUGGGAUGACCUAAAGGAACUUAUGCUAGCAGAAUACUGCCUGAUGUGUGAGAUGCAAAAGUUAGUGCAGGAGAUCUGGAGUCUGAAGAUGAAGGACUCUGAUAUCGCUGCUUAUACUGCUAGAUUUAGUGAUCUAGCUCUUUUGUGUCCCGGGAUGGUCACCCCGGAGAGUAAGAAGGUGGAAAGGUAUAUAUGGGGAUUAAAUCCCCCGACUCAAGGAAAUGUUAUAGCUGCCAAUCCACUUACUUUCGAUAGUGCCAAGCGUUUGGCACAGACAUUAGUAGAUCAUGGAGAUCGCCAAGGCUCCGUAACAUUUGUUCCUGAACAGCCCAAGGAGAGUGACAGUAAAAAGAAAUUCUGGAACAAGCGAAAGGGCCAAUCUUCGCAGGAGCCCUCAAAGAAACAGCAAACAGUGGCAGUCUAUGCUGCUACCAUUCCUGUUGUUGUUCCUACUGCUCCAGCACCUCCCAGUCGAUACGUUGGUAACCUACCGAAAUGCAACAAAUGUAACUUCCACACACGGACCUUGUCGGGAAUUUCAAUGCACUAACUGCAACAGGAAGGGGCACACCGCCCGUUUCUGUAAGACACUGACACAGCCUAAUGCCCAGACCCCCGAAACUAGAGUAAGCCAAACCUGCUAUGGGUGUGGUGAAGUAGGGCACUACAAUAGGGAUUGCCUGAAGGCAAGAAAUGCUGGCAACAUAGGAAGAGUUCUAGCGAUGGGUCAGGAGGAGGCAGUUGCGGACCCCACGGUAGUCAUGGGUACGUUCCUUCUCGAUAACUCUUUUGCAUUCAUACUCUUUGAUAGUGGUACAGAGAGGAGUUUCGUCAGCCAUAAAUUUAAACACUUACUCAAACACAAACCACAAUCACUAAAUGAAACAUUCACUGUCGAGAUGCUAAUGGGAGGAAAGAGAGCACUAAUGACAUAUUCAUAGGUUGUACUCUCACUCUAAACAACCAUUCUUUCCCAAUCGACCUUAUGCCAGUCUCCAUAAAAAGCUUCGAUGUCAUUAUCAGAAUAGAUUGGUUAAGUCCUCAUCGUGCUGACAUUCUAUGCUUCGAAAAAGCCAUUCGCCUCAAUCUACCAAAUGACGAAACCCUCGUUAUCUACGGUGACAAACCCAGUACAAUCCUUCGCAUCAUCUCUUGCAUCAAAGCCUAAAAAUACCUACGAAAAGAGUGUCAUGCAUUCUUAGCUCAUGUAGUCAAUGAAAAACAAGAUGUAAAAGACCUCGAGAGCAUUCCCAAAUUCUGUAAUUUUUCUGACAUCUUUCCUGAAGAUCUUCCAGGAGUUCCUCCUAAAUGCCAAGUCGAGUUCUGAAUCGACUUGAUUCAUGGAGCUACCCCCGUAGCCAAAUCCCCGUAUCGCCUAGCACCUGCAGAGAUUUCGGAAUUAUCUAGCCAAUUAAAUGAACUACUCGGUAAGGGAUUCAUCAGACUGAGCUCUUCACCCUGGGGAGCACCGGUCCUGUUUGUGAAAAAGAAGGAUGGAUCUUUCCAGAUGUACAUAGAUUAUCACGAACUAAACAAGCUUACCAUUAAGAACCAAUACCCUCUUCCGCGAAUAGACGACCUCUUCGAUCAACUCCAAGGAGCCAGCUACUUUUCAAAGAUUGACCUAAGAUCAGGGUAUCACCAAUUACGAGUCCAUGAGAAUGAUGUUCCCAAGACAGCAUUCCGAACUCAUUAUGGUCACUACGAGUUUGUAGUAAUGCCCUUUUGUCUAACAAAUGCACCCGCGAUAUUCAUGGAUCUAAUGAAACGGGUAUGUCAUCCCGUCUUAGACAAAUUCGUGAUAGUAUUCGUAGAUGAUAUACUCAUCUACUCACGAAGUGAGGGAGAACAUAGCCAGCACUUGAGACAAGUCUUAGAAACAUUAAGGGCGGAAAAGUUUUAUGCUAAAUUCUCAAAGUGCGAUUUUUGGAUUAGGAAGGUAAAUUUCCUUGGUUAUGUGGUUAGCGAAGAAGGAAUACACAUGGACCCCUCCAAAAUAAAGGCAAUCGAGAACUGGUCAACACCCAGAACACCAACAGAGAUCUGCCAAUUUUUAGGACUUGCUGGCUAUUAUCGCAAAUUCAUACAAAACUUCUCCAGAAUCGCUAAACCUCUUACUGACCUGACUCAGAAGGGUGUAACUUUUAGCUGGGGAGAGAAAAAAGACAUUGCGUUCCAAAUACCGAAGCAAGCCCUGUGCAGCGCACCUAUCUUGUCUCUUCCAGAAGGGACAGAAGACUUCGUAGUAUACUGUGAUGCAUCUAAUCAGGGGCUAGGUUGUGUGCUUAUGCAGUGAGGAAAGGUUAUUGUCUAUGCAUCGAGACAACUAAAGGCACACGAAGCCAACUACACCGCUCAUGAUCUUUAGUUGGGAGUUAUAGUUUUUGCACUAAAAAUAUGGAGGCAUUACCUUUACAGUACCAAGUGCACCAGCUUCACCGACCACAAAAGUUUUCAACACAUCUUUAAUCAGAAAGAACUUAAAAUGAGACAACGGCGAUGGGUAGAACUACUUGAUGAUUACGAAUGCGAAAUUCGCUAUCAUCCCGACAAAGCCAAUGUAGUAGCGGAUGCUCUUAGUCGAAAGGAGUACUCAGGUUGUAGAGUGAAGGCACUAACCAUGAAAAUCCAUUCACAUCUAUCCACACAGAUCAAGAAGGAUCAAUUAGAAGCCUUGCAACCGGAUAAUGUAGCAGAUGAAGCCUUAAGAGGAAUGGAGAACAACUUAGAAAUCAAGGGUGACGGAGUUCGUUACUUCAUGAAUCGGAUCUGGAUACCGAAGUUUGGUGGCUACAAAGAUGUUUUCAUAAAUGAAGCCCACAAGACUCGAUAUUCCGUUCAUCCAUGUUCAGAUAAGAUGUAUCUGGAUCUCAAGAAACUUUAUUGGUGGCCAAACAUGAAAGCAGAGAUUGCUACCUAUGUAGGCAAGUGUCUAACUUGCGCCAAAGUCAAGGUAGAAUAUCAAAAGCCCUCAGGUUUACUUCAACAGCCAGAGAUACCUGAGUGGAAGUGGGAGCGGAUUACAAUGGAUUUCAUAACCAAGCUGCCUAAGACCCUGGGUGGUCAUGACACCAUUUGGGUAAUCGUCGACGGAUUAACCAAAUCUACUCACUUCCUACCAAUAAAGGAAACAGACAAGAUGGAGAAAUUGACCAGAACAUACAUCAGAGAGAUAGUAUGACUGCAUGGUGUGCCCAUGUCUAUUAUAUCAGAUAGAGACAGUAGAUUCACCUCGCGGUUUUAGCAGUCAUUACAGAAAUCUCUGGGAACUAGUUUGGACAUGAGUACAACCUAUCUCCCACAAACUGACGAGCGGAGUGAGAGAACCAUUCAAACACUAGAAGACAUGCUAAGAGCAUGUGUGAUUGACUUUGGUAAAUAAUGGAAUACCUAUUUUCCAUUUGUCGAGUUUUCAUAGAACAAUAGUUACCACUCUAGCAUCAAGGAUGCCCCAUUCGAAGCCCUUUAUGGCCGUAAGUGUAGAUCCCCUCUUUGUUGGCUGAAGUGGGUGACACGCAGCUAGCUAAAGGGCAAGUACUGGAUAGCACUCUCACUGGCCUGAAGAUCAUUCGAGAAACCACUGAAAAGAUUGUUCAAAUCCGAGAAUGAUUGAAAGCCUCUAGAGAUAGACAAAAGAGCUACACAGACAAGACACAAAAACCCUUGGAAUUCCAGGUUGGUGACCGUGUUGUGUUGAAGGCCUCACCCUGGAAGGGCAUGAUACGCUUUGGAAAGCAUGGAAAACUAAAUCCAAGGUACAUUGGGUCAUUCGAGAUUCUCGCUAGAAUCGGCCCAGUAGCUUAUAAACUCCGUCUACCACAAGAACUUAACAACGUACACUCUGUCUUCCACGUGUCAAAUCUAAAGAAGUGUCUAUCCAACGAGACUCUUCUGAUUCCACUCGAUGAAAUCAAGAUAAACGAGAGUCUUAACUUUGUGGAAGAACCAGUAGAAAUCAUGGAUAGGGAAGUCAAAUGAACGAAACAAAGACGCAUGCCAAUAGUGAAGGUUCGCUGGAAUGCCAAGCGAGACCUGGAUUCACUUGGGAGCGAGAAGAUAAAUUGAGAAAAAAAAUACAUGCAUCUUUUCCCUAGUCCAUGAUGUACUCUCUACAGAAAGAAUUUCGGGACGAAAUUCCCUCUAACGGGGGGAUAAUGUAACAACCCGUUAUUUUCAAGUCAAUAAAAGUCAAACCCUCUAAAUAAAAUUUGAGUUUUAUUUAUUUUGUUAAGAUCAUAAGGGUUAAAUAUGAUUUAAAUUAUAUAAAUGUUGUUUUAUAUAAGUAUUUUAAGGGUUGGAAUAAAAUACACUUAAGAAUCUUAACAUUUUUCCUUGGAACCGAGAACCUUCGCACCGAAAACCUUUCUCAGCCGAAAACCUUUGGACUGCAAACCCCCAUCGAGAACUCCCCUGGAGCGAAAACUCCCUUCUGACCGAGAACCCUCUUGAUAUAUAUAACUUCACUCGAAAACAUGAGUCAUUUCUCACUUUUCCAACCAAAAACACACUCAUUUUGCUCUCAAGUAUCAUCCAAGAACCUUCAUAUCUUCAAGCAAAAUCCUUCAAAUCUUCAUAAUUUUCACAAAGAAUACCAAGAACAAUGUUCAAAUCUUCAGGCUGACCGAAAACCAUCAGGACCGAGAACCACUAGACCGAAAUUCUUCCUGACCGAGAACACCUUAAGACCAUGAACUUGGUUCUCGGUUGAGGUUUUAAGACCGAAAUCAAGGGAUUUCGGUGAAAGCUAGACCGAACACACCUAACAACACUCCAAAAUAAUUCUCAGUAAUUUUUGUAAGUAACCUUACAUAAACUAAGUGUUGUUUAACACCUUAGUUAAUUAUUUUGCUAAUUUAAAUACAAUUAUAUGUUUAAAUAAUAUUAGGAUACCGUCAUUUACACGUACGCUAGCCCGAGGAUCAUCUCUGCAGUUUCGCUACCUGAUCACGAACACGCACUAGAGGUGAGUUCAAACCCCUACGUUUUCACUAUUUCUCAAUGUUUUUUUUUGGAGGGGGGGGGGGGGAAUACAAGUUAAACAAAAGGACUCUUGUGUUAAUAUCCAAAUGAUUUCAAACCAUUUGAAAUUGUUUCACAUUAAUUUAUUGCCAUUUUUAACAAAAUUAUAUUCACAUAUAUUCAUAUAUAUAAAGAAGGUUCAACAGACUUAGAAUUGGCAAUUCCGCCCUAAAUCUUGUUCCUUGUUUGGUUGUGGGUUUAGGAUAGAACUACUUAUUCGGCUGUCUUUUCACUCUUGAUUAUAUGUUAGGAAUAUAUGUGAGUGUAGAACAUAUUGUCUACCCUUUGUAACAUGCCAAGCAAAAGGGAACUCUAUACAAAUCUUUUAUUACUGCUUUAUAUACACUGAUAAAUUGCAAAGGUUUUCAGUUCAUUACAGAGUAUACAUUUAAACUAUAAUAGGUAUAGUUUGUGAAUCGCUACACUAUUUUGCUAAGUUCAAUAAACGAUAUAAGAACAUACACUUAAACUAUAAUUGGUAUAGUUUGAGAACCACUACACUAUUUUACAAGCUCAAUAACACUAUACAGAAACAAGUAUAUAAACUAUAAUAGGUAUAGUUUAUGGAACACUACUCUAUUUCACUAAUUCAAGGAUACACUAAUAAAAUAAUUAUUUAAGUAUAAUUAUUUUACAUUACAAAGUACACUACUACAAAGUAAUACAUACAGUUUCAAGUACAAGAGAACACUACUACACUACACAUAAACUAGUUAUUACGGGAAUGUUAGGCACUACUUCAUUGUAUCCAUCAGGGUACAGGUUCAAGUCCUAUAAAUUAUAACCAAAGUCUCCUAGAGGGAGAGCGUGAAUUUGUGUAUAGAUCUAUACGGGACUGACAAUCCCGCACCUGAACUGCUAUCUACAGUUAGGCUGGCAAGCCUGGGGUGACAAAUGUCAUAACAUUCCGACGCCUGAAGAACGUCGUAGAGGUCACUAGUCAUUUUAGCAUGGUUAUAUGAAACUCACAAUAGUAACAACUAAAACCUUGUUUGCGGAAUUAACACUACUUCAAGAGUUUUAUUUUAAUUAAUAAAACUACAGUACACUAUUUUACACUACAGCUGGUGGAUUCCAGGCAUUCAUACAAACACUAAUACGACACACUACUUUUCUAGUACAGAGUACACUAGUACAACAUACAAUUUCAAGAAACAUUCAUGAUAAAGUUAUAUUUAUUAAUAAGACUACAUUUCAUUCACUAAAGAAAAUAUUGGAUUUUCUAGGAGAACACUAUAACAUUUUUCAAUGAACCAAGACAAAGCUUUCCAUCUCAAAAACAUACUUAUGAAAUCACCAACUUAAAUGUUGAUACACUUUCAAAAUCACUUGUAUUCUCAAAGAACCGGUAGACAGGUACACUCACUAGUUUUGAGAAGACGGAGCUUUAGAGAGUCGCAUCUUUUAUACUUUUGCUAUAUACUUUUGAUGUCAUACAAAUCAUGUACUAAACAGAUGUAAACACUAUAUUUUAUCAAUUUAAUGAUUAUGUUUGCUUUGAUUACUAUUAUACAAUUGUUCUGAUACAGUACAUGACGUCCUCCGCCCCCAAACGUUUCCGCUGUUUCGGUUUUGGGGUGUGACAACCAAUCCGGCUUACGAACAAUAAUGUUUAAAAGUCGGCUUCAAUAAGACAAAUUUGGUAGAAAAAAUUAACAAACCUCUCCAUAGAAUAUGAUUUGGGGUGUUUCUACCUCUACUGAUUCUCGUCCCAUUUCCAUACUUCCUUUUUCCUUCUAUUUUAUCCUUCACUUGUAAAUAUAUGUUCAGAAGUUUAAUUACAGAAUUUUCAUAGGAAAGAGAAAACCAUAUAAGGAAGCUUUGGCAUUUAAGGAGAUAUAGCAUGAAAACCAAAAACUUGUGGCCACUCAUCAAAAGAUAGAUGUUCAACUUUAAAAUAGAUUUAACUGAAAAUUUGCCCCAUCUCAAUCAAUCAAAAUUUGUAGCCUAU